This 549-nucleotide small RNA is filed under the name Pan troglodytes (chimpanzee). RNAcentral's name for it is "processed transcript". The record is from RNAcentral. Lineage: Eukaryota; Metazoa; Chordata; Mammalia; Primates; Hominidae.
AGAGCUGCCGCCAUUUUGCGGGAAGAGGAGCCGCUGUACCUGCAGUGCUGCUUUUCUUGCCUAGACUCUAGGAACUAUCCGAGCUCCACUCCCCACAACAUACUCAAAGGAACGGAGAGAACCAGGACCCCCCUGCGGGGACCCGGAACUGAUCUGACAGGAUGGCAUCUGAUGACUUUGACAUAGUGAUUGAGGCCAUGCUGGAAGCUCCCUAUAAAAAAGAAGAGGAUGAGCAACAAAGGAAAGAAGUUAAAAAGGAUUAUCCUAGCAAUACCACCAGCAGCACCAGCAACAGUGGCAAUGAGACCAGUGGAAGCAGCACCAUCGGGGAGACAAGCAACAAUAACGAAACCUUCUCUUUAAGAAUUUACACUCCUGACCUGGCGCGGUGCUCACGCGGGGCUCAUGCAUGUAAUCCCAGCACUUUGGGAGGCUGAGGCAGGUGGAUCACUUGAGGCUAGGGGUUCAAGAUGAACCUGGCCAACAUAGCGAAACCUUGUCUCUACUAAAAAUAUAAAAAAUUAGCUGGGCAUGAUGGUACAUGCCUGU